GUCUACAGCCAUACCACCCUGAACGCGCCUGAUCUCGUCUGAUCUCGGAAGCUAAGCAGGGUCGGGCCUGGUUAGUACUUGAAUGGGAGAAGAAAUCCUAGAAGAAAUUCUUCUUGGUUGUCUGCAGCUAUAGGCA
This is a ribosomal RNA of Panthera tigris altaica (Amur tiger), 136 nucleotides long. The record is from Ensembl. NCBI's taxonomy places the organism in Eukaryota, Metazoa, Chordata, Mammalia, Carnivora, Felidae.